AGAGAAAGCGGGGGGCAGGCUUAACACAUGCAAGUCGAGCGGGCAUCUUCGGAUGUCAGCGGCAGACGGGUGAGUAACACGUGGGAACGUACCCUUCGGUUCGGAACAACUCUGGGAAACUGGAGCUAAUACCGGAUACGCCCUUAUGGGGAAAGGUUUACUGCCGAAGGAUCGGCCCGCGUCUGAUUAGCUAGUUGGUGGGGUAACGGCCUACCAAGGCGACGAUCAGUAGCUGGUCUGAGAGGAUGAUCAGCCACACUGGGACUGAGACACGGCCCAGACUCCUACGGGAGGCAGCAGUGGGGAAUAUUGGACAAUGGGCGCAAGCCUGAUCCAGCCAUGCCGCGUGAGUGAUGAAGGCCUUAGGGUUGUAAAGCUCUUUUGUCCGGGACGAUAAUGACGGUACCGGAAGAAUAAGCCCCGGCUAACUUCGUG
Molecule: ribosomal RNA, 435 nt
Filed under: uncultured bacterium
Lineage: Bacteria
Description: partial 16S ribosomal RNA
Rfam family: Bacterial small subunit ribosomal RNA
Source: RNAcentral